Molecule: unclassified non-coding RNA, 90 nt
Filed under: Pseudomonas arsenicoxydans
Lineage: Bacteria; Pseudomonadati; Pseudomonadota; Gammaproteobacteria; Pseudomonadales; Pseudomonadaceae
Source: RNAcentral
UGUGGGAGCGGGCUUGCCCGCGAUAACGGUGUGUCAUUCAACGAUGAUGUUGACUGGCAGUCCGCAAUCGCGGGCAAGCCCGCUCCCACA